CCUGGCGGCUUUAGCGCGGUGGUCCCACCUGACCCCAUGCCGAACUCAGAAGUGAAACGCCGUAGCCUCAGAAGUGAAACGCCGUAGCGCCGAUGGUAGUGUGGGGUCUCCCCAUGUGAGAGUAGGGAACUGCCAGGC
RNAcentral lists this ribosomal RNA (138 nucleotides) under Enterobacter sp. SES19. The record is from RNAcentral. Lineage: Bacteria; Pseudomonadati; Pseudomonadota; Gammaproteobacteria; Enterobacterales; Enterobacteriaceae.